GACGAACGCUGGCGGCGUGCUUAACACAUGCAAGUCGAACGAUGAAGCUGGAGCUUGCUCCGGUGGGUUAGUGGCGAACGGGUGAGUAACACGUGAGUAAUCUGCCCUUGACUCUGGGAUAACUGCGGGAAACUGUAGCUAAUACCGGAUACGACACCUUCGGGCAUCCGAUGGGUGUGGAAAGAAUUUCGGUCAAGGAUGAACUCGCGGCCUAUCAGCUAGUUGGUGAGGUAAUGGCUCACCAAGGCGACGACGGGUAGCCGGCCUGAGAGGGUGACCGGCCACACUGGGACUGAGACACGGCCCAGACUCCUACGGGAGGCAGCAGUGGGGAAUAUUGCACAAUGGGCGAAAGCCUGAUGCAGCAACGCCGCGUGAGGGAUGAAGGCCUUCGGGUUGUAAACCUCUUUUAGUUGGGAAGAAGCGAAAGUGACGGUACCAACAGAAAAAGCACCGGCUAACUACGUGCCAGCAGCCGCGGUAA
Molecule: ribosomal RNA, 484 nt
Filed under: uncultured bacterium
Lineage: Bacteria
Description: partial 16S ribosomal RNA
Rfam family: Bacterial small subunit ribosomal RNA
Source: RNAcentral